This 406-nucleotide ribosomal RNA is filed under the name uncultured bacterium. RNAcentral's name for it is "partial 16S ribosomal RNA". It matches the Rfam family "Bacterial small subunit ribosomal RNA", at positions 30 to 526 of the family's 1533-position model. The record is from RNAcentral.
AUUGAACGCUGGCGGCAGGCCUAACACAUGCAAGUCGAACGAGUGGCGGACGGGUGAGUAAUGUCUGGGAAACUGCCCGAUGGAGGGGGAUAACUACUGGAAACGGUAGCUAAUAACGCAUACCAUCGGAUGUGCCCAAAUGGGAUUAGCUAGUAGGUGGGGUAAAGGCUCACCUAGGCGACGAUCCCUAGCUGGUCUGAGAGGAUGACCAUCCACACUGGAACUGAGACCCGUUCCAGACUCCUAUGGGAGGCAGCAGUGGGGAAUAUUGCACAAGUGGCGCAAGCCUUAUGCAGCCAUGCCGCGUGUAUGAAGAAGGCCUGCGUGUUGUAAAGUACUUUCAGCGGGGAGGCGUUACCCGCAGAAGAAGCACCGGCUAACUCCGUGCCAGCAGCCGCGGUAAUUC